This 256-nucleotide ribosomal RNA is filed under the name uncultured prokaryote. RNAcentral's name for it is "partial 16S ribosomal RNA". It matches the Rfam family "Bacterial small subunit ribosomal RNA", at positions 522 to 777 of the family's 1533-position model. The record is from RNAcentral.
AAUACGUAGGGACCGAGCGUUGUCCGGAUUCAUUGGGCGUAAAGAGCUCGUAGGCGGCCACUCAAGUCGAAUGUGAAACCUCGAGGCUUAACCUCGAGCCUGCAUUCGAUACUGGGCGGCUAGAGUCUGGUAGGGGGAUCUGGAAUUCCUGGUGUAGCGGUGGAAUGCGCAGAUAUCAGGAGGAACACCGGUGGCGAAGGCGGGAUCCUGGGCCAGUACUGACGCUGAGGAGCGAAAGCGUGGGGAGCAAACAGGA